Molecule: ribosomal RNA, 414 nt
Filed under: uncultured microorganism
Description: bacterial SSU rRNA
Rfam family: Archaeal small subunit ribosomal RNA
Source: RNAcentral
CAGCCGCCGCGGUAAUACCGGCGGCCCGAGUGGCGGUCACUAUUAUUGGGCUUAAAGCGUCCGUAGCCGGGUUGGGAAGGCCUCCGGGAAAUCUGGCCGCUUAAAGGUCAGAAUGCCGGAGGAUACUCCCAGCCUAGGGAGCGGGAGAGGCCGAGGGUAUUCCCGGAGUAGGGGGGAAAUCCUAUAAUCCCGGGAGGACCACCUGUGGCGAAGGCGCUCGGCUGGAACGCGUCCGACGGUGAGGGACGAAGGCCAGGGGAGCAAACCGGAUUAGAUACCCGGGUAGUCCUGGCUGUAAACGAUGCGGACUUUGUGUCGGACAAGCUAUGAGCUUGUCCGGUGCCGGAGGGAAACCGUUAAGUCCGCCGCCUGGGGAGUACGGCCGCAAGGCUGAAACUUAAAGGAAUUGGCGGG